GACGAACGCCGGCGGCGUGCUUAACACAUGCAAGUCGAACGGUAAGGCCCUUCGGGGUACACGAGUGGCGAACGGGUGAGUAACACGUGGGUGAUCUGCCCUGCACUUUGGGAUAAGCCUGGGAAACUGGGUCUAAUACCGGAUAGGACCACGGCCUGCAUGGGUUGUGGUGGAAAGCUUUUGCGGUGUGGGAUGGGCCCGCGGCCUAUCAGCUUGUUGGUGGGGUGAUGGCCUACCAAGGCGACGACGGGUAGCCGGCCUGAGAGGGUGUCCGGCCACACUGGGACUGAGAUACGGCCCAGACUCCUACGGGAGGCAGCAGUGGGGAAUAUUGCACAAUGGGCGCAAGCCUGAUGCAGCGACGCCGCGUGGGGGAUGACGGCCUUCGGGUUGUAAACCUCUUUCACCAGGGACGAAGCGCAAGUGACGGUACCUGGAGAAGAAGCACCGGCCAACUACGUGCCAGCAGCCGCCGUAA
Molecule: ribosomal RNA, 478 nt
Filed under: uncultured bacterium
Lineage: Bacteria
Description: partial 16S ribosomal RNA
Rfam family: Bacterial small subunit ribosomal RNA
Source: RNAcentral